ACCUCUAUGCAGUAAUGCGUCUUGACGGCUGUCCUCGGACUCUGUCUAAACAUAGCCAGUAAGUCGUGGGUUGCGACCAGCCCGAGUGCUAAGCAUUCUUGGCCUGGCCGUAGCUACGAUCAGCAAGGCAGCAAUGCUACGCUAUACUAUCU
RNAcentral lists this unclassified non-coding RNA (152 nucleotides) under uncultured Rozellomycota. Its description in RNAcentral is "uncultured Cryptomycota sequence contains ITS2". The record is from RNAcentral. Lineage: Eukaryota; Fungi; Rozellomycota.